RNAcentral lists this ribosomal RNA (253 nucleotides) under uncultured bacterium. RNAcentral describes it as "partial 16S ribosomal RNA". It matches the Rfam family "Bacterial small subunit ribosomal RNA", at positions 524 to 776 of the family's 1533-position model. The record is from RNAcentral.
UACGGGGGGUGCGAGCGUUGUCCGGAAUCACUGGGCGUAAAGGGCGCGUAGGUGGCGUCGUAAGUCUGUGGUGAAAGCCCCGGGCUCAACCUGGGAAUUGCAUUUGAGACUGCUCUGCUCGGGUGCGGAAGAGGGAAGCGGAAUUUCCGGUGUAGCGGUGAAAUGCGUAGAUAUCGGAAGGAACACCAGUGGCGAAGGCGGCUAUCUGGACGGUUUCUGACACUAAGACUCGAAAGCGUGGGGAGCAAACAGG